RNAcentral lists this ribosomal RNA (306 nucleotides) under uncultured maize root bacterium Zmrc184. RNAcentral's name for it is "bacterial SSU rRNA". It matches the Rfam family "Bacterial small subunit ribosomal RNA", at positions 1154 to 1459 of the family's 1533-position model. The record is from RNAcentral.
GGUGACAAGCCGGAGGAAGGUGGGGAUGACGUCAAGUCCUCAUGGCCCUUACGGGUAGGGCUUCACACGUCAUACAAUGGUCGGUCCAGAGGGCAGCGACCNUGCGAAGGUGAGCCAAUCCCAGAAAGCCGAUCGUAGUCCGGAUUGCAGUCUGCAACUCGACUGCACGAAGCUGGAAUCGCUAGUAAUCGCGGAACAGCAUGCCGCGGUGAAUACGUUCCCGGGUCUUGUACACACCGCCCGUCACACCAUGGGAGUGGGUUUUACCAGAAGUGGCUAGUUUAACCGCAAGGAAGACGGUCCCCA